This 301-nucleotide ribosomal RNA is filed under the name uncultured bacterium. Its description in RNAcentral is "partial 16S ribosomal RNA". It matches the Rfam family "Bacterial small subunit ribosomal RNA", at positions 509 to 807 of the family's 1533-position model. The record is from RNAcentral.
CAGCAGCCGCGGUAAUACGUAGGGUGCGAGCGUUAAUCGGAAUUACUGGGCGUAAAGCGUGCGCAGGCGGUUGUGUAAGACAGGUGUGAAAUCCCCGGGCUCAACCUGGGAAUGGCAGUGGAUACUGGCUCGCUAGAGUGUGUCAGAGGAUGGUGGAAUUCCCGGUGUAGCGGUGAAAUGCGUAGAGAUCGGGAGGAACAUCAGUGGCGAAGGCGGCCAUCUGGGACAACACUGACGCUGAGGCACGAAAGCGUGGGGAGCAAACAGGAUUAGAUACCCGAGUAGUCCCUGUCUCUUAUAC